AUACUCUAAAGGGAUAGCCAGUCGCAAUGACCUGCUUACUUUCAGAUUUCUUAAGGUACUACAUCUAUCGCUUUGAGUUUUUAGUAUUGCGGUAAUCAAUUACUAUCCAUCAACUCGCCCUCAUGAAGUUGUUUCUUUCGUGUAUACAGAGCCGUGAAGCAGUCGCCGCCACACGCGAAAGCACUCUUCACUGCAACUGUUGGAGCAUCGCUUGUUCUGUUUCUCUGCCUUGGAGGGAUAGUGUUCUACCUGAAGAUGGAUGACAAUGGUGAUGUGGCAGCCGGCCCUUCUACGAGGUUUACUGGGUUGCCCCCAAAGCGAGAUACACAAAGGGUGCCUACCAUUCCCCAGAGCUCUGAGCCUAGCACACCCUCUUCAGAGACAGGUACUCCACCGACCCCACCAACCGGAGGCAAUCAAUCGAGUCUGCACGAAGUUCUGCAAGCCGAAGACAACGACGAGGAGUGAAUCGCAGGACACUUGUUCGCGUAGCUUAUGAACAAAUUUACUAUAAUUUUUUGCGCAUUACUAUUUUCAAUAUUUAACGAUUUUAUAUAGAUCUACUUUGUCCAUAUAUAUAAACUGUUAUUAACUGUCACGAUGCCAUUUUCCAGGUAGCCAUGCUACUGUGAUAAUGUCAUGGAAAUGAGGAGGCACAUCGAAAAUGUUGUCCAAGGAACUUCUUUGGAGGUUAUAUUUAUAGGGUUAAAUAUCAUUGUAAUAAUAUCAACGUAUUGUUUGCUAUUUUGACGUGCUUACUGCACGUCCCUUUGCACCAAAUGUGCUUCUUAUUCUCUUAAUAGGAAACGAGGAUGGAGAUGCAUAGACUAUCGACAGUUCGUGGAAGAUUUUGACAUGUUAUCUUAGCUGCUUAUGCAGUACACGCAAACAAAGCCUGUGAUGGUAUCACAAAGGUAAAGUGCUAACAGUAUUCGUUUUCCACUCGACAGGCUCUUGAUUUUAUCACACACACAAGACGUUUAUCUCUAAGGCAAGUUAUGAAUGCUAUUUGUUAACCGAAAUGUUCGAAGAAAAUUAUAGAGCCUACAAAUAAAGAAACGGAGUUUUCAACACUGAUGAACGCUUAUUCGUUGCUACAGCUUCGAGGGAAAACAGUUAUGUUAUUGAGCUGACUGAUUCAAACGAUGUCGUGUGUUUGCCAAUGAUGAACAGUAAUUCCUUCUUGUUUUAUUAAAUGCCCUGCUCACGUGGUCGAACGCAUCAGCUAUCUCACUAGGGCGUUCUUGGAUACGGCAAGCUGAGUAAAUGCCUAACCAAGCUUAAUGCAAUGUUAUGUACCACCUUGUGCUUCG
Molecule: long non-coding RNA, 1313 nt
Filed under: Dermacentor andersoni
Lineage: Eukaryota; Metazoa; Arthropoda; Arachnida; Ixodida; Ixodidae
Description: uncharacterized LOC126532430
Source: RNAcentral